This 118-nucleotide non-coding RNA is filed under the name Erythranthe guttata (spotted monkey flower). Lineage: Eukaryota; Viridiplantae; Streptophyta; Magnoliopsida; Lamiales; Phrymaceae. The record is from Rfam by way of RNAcentral.
CGAGGAAGGGCAUAGCAAUCGACGAAAUGCUUCGGGGAGUUGAAAAUAAGCAUAGAUCCGGAGAUUCCCGAAUAUGGCAACCUUUCGAACUGCUGCUGAAUCCAUGGGCAGACAAGAG